RNAcentral lists this ribosomal RNA (2929 nucleotides) under Citrobacter freundii. RNAcentral's name for it is "23S ribosomal RNA". It matches the Rfam family "Bacterial large subunit ribosomal RNA". Lineage: Bacteria; Pseudomonadati; Pseudomonadota; Gammaproteobacteria; Enterobacterales; Enterobacteriaceae. The record is from RNAcentral.
GGGUUGUGAGGUUAAGCGACUAAGCGUACACGGUGGAUGCCCUGGCAGUCAGAGGCGAUGAAGGACGUGCUAAUCUGCGAUAAGCGUCGGUAAGGUGAUAUGAACCGUUAUAACCGGCGAUUUCCGAAUGGGGAAACCCAGUGUGAUUCGUCACACUAUCAUUACGUGAAUACAUAGCGUAAUGAAGCGAACCGGGGGAACUGAAACAUCUAAGUACCCCGAGGAAAAGAAAUCAACCGAGAUUCCCCCAGUAGCGGCGAGCGAACGGGGAGCAGCCCAGAGUCUGAAUCAGCUUGUGUGUUAGUGGAACGGUCUGGAAAGUCCGACGGUACAGGGUGAUAGUCCCGUACACCAAAAUGCACAGGUUGUGAACUCGAAGAGUAGGGCGGGACACGUGGUAUCCUGUCUGAAUAUGGGGGGACCAUCCUCCAAGGCUAAAUACUCCUGACUGACCGAUAGUGAACCAGUACCGUGAGGGAAAGGCGAAAAGAACCCCGGCGAGGGGAGUGAAAAAGAACCUGAAACCGUGUACGUACAAGCAGUGGGAGCAUCCUUUUGGGUGUGACUGCGUACCUUUUGUAUAAUGGGUCAGCGACUUAUAUUCUGUAGCAAGGUUAACCGUAUAGGGGAGCCGAAGGGAAACCGAGUCUUAACUGGGCGUUAAGUUGCAGGGUAUAGACCCGAAACCCGGUGAUCUAGCCAUGGGCAGGUUGAAGGUUGGGUAACACUAACUGGAGGACCGAACCGACUAAUGUUGAAAAAUUAGCGGAUGACUUGUGGCUGGGGGUGAAAGGCCAAUCAAACCGGGAGAUAGCUGGUUCUCCCCGAAAGCUAUUUAGGUAGCGCCUCGUGAAUUCAUCUUCGGGGGUAGAGCACUGUUUCGGCUAGGGGGUCAUCCCGACUUACCAACCCGAUGCAAACUGCGAAUACCGAAGAAUGUUAUCACGGGAGACACACGGCGGGUGCUAACGUCCGUCGUGAAGAGGGAAACAACCCAGACCGCCAGCUAAGGUCCCAAAGUCAUGGUUAAGUGGGAAACGAUGUGGGAAGGCACAGACAGCCAGGAUGUUGGCUUAGAAGCAGCCAUCAUUUAAAGAAAGCGUAAUAGCUCACUGGUCGAGUCGGCCUGCGCGGAAGAUGUAACGGGGCUAAACCAUGCACCGAAGCUGCGGCAGCGACACUAUGUGUUGUUGGGUAGGGGAGCGUUCUGUAAGCCGUUGAAGGUGUACUGUGAGGUAUGCUGGAGGUAUCAGAAGUGCGAAUGCUGACAUAAGUAACGAUAAUGCGGGUGAAAAACCCGCACGCCGGAAGACCAAGGGUUCCUGUCCAACGUUAAUCGGGGCAGGGUGAGUCGACCCCUAAGGCGAGGCCGAAAGGCGUAGUCGAUGGGAAACAGGUUAAUAUUCCUGUACUUGGUGUUACUGCGAAGGGGGGACGGAGAAGGCUAUGUUAGCCGGGCGACGGUUGUCCCGGUUUAAGCAUGUAGGCGGAGGUUCCAGGUAAAUCCGGUACCUUUUUAACGCUGAGGUGUGAUGACGAGGCACUACGGUGCUGAAGUAACAAAUGCCCUGCUUCCAGGAAAAGCCUCUAAGCAUCAGGUAACACGAAAUCGUACCCCAAACCGACACAGGUGGUCAGGUAGAGAAUACCAAGGCGCUUGAGAGAACUCGGGUGAAGGAACUAGGCAAAAUGGUGCCGUAACUUCGGGAGAAGGCACGCUGAUAUGUAGGUGAAGUGAUUUACUCAUGGAGCUGAAAUCAGUCGAAGAUACCAGCUGGCUGCAACUGUUUAUUAAAAACACAGCACUGUGCAAACACGAAAGUGGACGUAUACGGUGUGACGCCUGCCCGGUGCCGGAAGGUUAAUUGAUGGGGUUAUCCGUAAGGAGAAGCUCUUGAUCGAAGCCCCGGUAAACGGCGGCCGUAACUAUAACGGUCCUAAGGUAGCGAAAUUCCUUGUCGGGUAAGUUCCGACCUGCACGAAUGGCGUAAUGAUGGCCAGGCUGUCUCCACCCGAGACUCAGUGAAAUUGAACUCGCUGUGAAGAUGCAGUGUACCCGCGGCAAGACGGAAAGACCCCGUGAACCUUUACUAUAGCUUGACACUGAACACUGGUCCUUGAUGUGUAGGAUAGGUGGGAGGCUUUGAAGUGUGGACGCCAGUCUGCAUGGAGCCAUCCUUGAAAUACCACCCUUUAAUGGCUGGUGUUCUAACGUGGACCCGUGAUCCGGGUUGCGGACAGUGUCUGGUGGGUAGUUUGACUGGGGCGGUCUCCUCCUAAAGAGUAACGGAGGAGCACGAAGGUUAGCUAAUCCUGGUCGGACAUCAGGAGGUUAGUGCAAAGGCAUAAGCUAGCUUGACUGCGAGAGUGACGGCUCGAGCAGGUGCGAAAGCAGGUCUUAGUGAUCCGGUGGUUCUGAAUGGAAGGGCCAUCGCUCAACGGAUAAAAGGUACUCCGGGGAUAACAGGCUGAUACCGCCCAAGAGUUCAUAUCGACGGCGGUGUUUGGCACCUCGAUGUCGGCUCAUCACAUCCUGGGGCUGAAGUAGGUCCCAAGGGUAUGGCUGUUCGCCAUUUAAAGUGGUACGCGAGCUGGGUUUAGAACGUCGUGAGACAGUUCGGUCCCUAUCUGCCGUGGGCGCUGGAGAAUUGAGGGGGGCUGCUCCUAGUACGAGAGGACCGGAGUGGACGCAUCACUGGUGUUCGGGUUGUCAUGCCAAUGGCAUUGCCCGGUAGCUAAAUGCGGAAGAGAUAAGUGCUGAAAGCAUCUAAGCACGAAACUUGCCCCGAGAUGAGUUCUCCCUGAGACUUUAAGUCUCCUGAAGGAACGUUGAAGACGACGACGUUGAUAGGUCGGGUGUGUAAGUGUAGCGAUACAUUGAGCUAACCGAUACUAAUGAACCGUGAGGCUUAACCUUACAACGCCGAAG